This 538-nucleotide ribosomal RNA is filed under the name uncultured bacterium. RNAcentral describes it as "bacterial SSU rRNA". It matches the Rfam family "Bacterial small subunit ribosomal RNA", at positions 777 to 1313 of the family's 1533-position model. The record is from RNAcentral.
AAUAGAUACCCUGGUAGUCCACGCCGUAAACGAUGAGUGCUAAGUGUUAGAGGGUUUCCGCCCUUUAGUGCUGCAGCUAACGCAUUAAGCACUCCGCCUGGGGAGUACGACCGCAAGGUUGAAACUCAAAGGAAUUGACGGGGGCCCGCACAAGCGGUGGAGCAUGUGGUUUAAUUCGAAGCAACGCGAAGAACCUUACCAGGUCUUGACAUCCUCUGACCUCCCUAGAGAUAGGGCCUUCCCCUUCGGGGGACAGAGUGACAGGUGGUGCAUGGUUGUCGUCAGCUCGUGUCGUGAGAUGUUGGGUUAAGUCCCGCAACGAGCGCAACCCUUGACCUUAGUUGCCAGCAUUCAGUUGGGCACUCUAAGGUGACUGCCGGUGACAAACCGGAGGAAGGUGGGGAUGACGUCAAAUCAUCAUGCCCCUUAUGACCUGGGCUACACACGUGCUACAAUGGAUGGCACAAAGGGCUGCGAAACCGCGAGGUUAAGCCAAUCCCAUAAAACCAUUCUCAGUUCGGAUUGCAGGCUGCUAACC